RNAcentral lists this microRNA (21 nucleotides) under Arabidopsis thaliana (thale cress). RNAcentral describes it as "ath-miR5648-3p". The record is from miRBase by way of RNAcentral. Lineage: Eukaryota; Viridiplantae; Streptophyta; Magnoliopsida; Brassicales; Brassicaceae.
AUCUGAAGAAAAUAGCGGCAU